RNAcentral lists this ribosomal RNA (202 nucleotides) under uncultured bacterium. RNAcentral's name for it is "partial 16S ribosomal RNA". It matches the Rfam family "Bacterial small subunit ribosomal RNA", at positions 1300 to 1500 of the family's 1533-position model. The record is from RNAcentral.
GCAGGCUGCAACCCGCCCUGCAUGAAGCCGGAAUCGCUAGUAAUCGCAGAUCAGAAUGCUGCGGUGAGUACGUUCCCGGGUCUUGUACACACCGCCCGUCACACCAUGGGAGUCGAUAACGCCCGAAGUCAGUGACCCAACCGAGAGGAGGGAGCUGCCGAAGGCGGGAUGGAUAACUGGGGUGAAGUCGUAACAAGGUAAC